UCCCAGACUCCUACGGGAGGCAGCAGUGGGGGAUAUUGCACAAUGGGGGAAACCCUGAUGCAGCGACGCCGCGUGUGGGAAGACGGUCCUCUGGAUUGUAAACCACUGUCCCCAGGGACGAAGAUGACGGUACCUGGGGAGGAAGCUCCGGCUAACUACGUGCCAGCAGCCGCGGUAAUACGUAGGGAGCAAGCGUUGUCCGGAAUUACUGGGUGUAAAGGGAGCGUAGGCGGGAUGGCAAGUUGGGUGUUAAAUCUACCGGCUCAACUGGUAGUCGCACUCAAAACUGCUAUUCUUGAGUGAAGUAGAGGCAGGCGGAAUUCCUAGUGUAGCGGUGAAAUGCAUAGAUAUCACGCAGAACUCCGAUUGCGAAGGCAGCGCACCGGCGCCCUACUGACGCUCAGGCACGAAAGCGUGGGUAUCGAACAGGAUUAGAUACCCGGAUA
RNAcentral lists this ribosomal RNA (446 nucleotides) under uncultured bacterium. RNAcentral's name for it is "bacterial SSU rRNA". It matches the Rfam family "Bacterial small subunit ribosomal RNA", at positions 329 to 792 of the family's 1533-position model. The record is from RNAcentral.